ACGCGAUGAGAUGAGCCGAUGCCGGAUUAGCUAGUUGGCGGGGUAAAGGCCCACCAAGGCGACGAUCCGUAGCUGGUCUGAGAGGAUGAUCAGCCACACUGGAACUGAGACACGGUCCAG
RNAcentral lists this ribosomal RNA (120 nucleotides) under uncultured bacterium. RNAcentral's name for it is "partial 16S ribosomal RNA". It matches the Rfam family "Bacterial small subunit ribosomal RNA", at positions 215 to 334 of the family's 1533-position model. The record is from RNAcentral.